RNAcentral lists this ribosomal RNA (998 nucleotides) under Niphargus schellenbergi. RNAcentral describes it as "partial 16S ribosomal RNA". The record is from RNAcentral. Lineage: Eukaryota; Metazoa; Arthropoda; Malacostraca; Amphipoda; Niphargidae.
UUUANUGNAAGGUAAGUNUAAGAGUGGUUAGUGGUUCAGUUACGUUGAAUUUAUCCUUGUAAGGGCAUUCUUUUAGUUGGUUUAUAAUAGUCUGUUUAAAAGAAAACAAGUUGUACCUUUUGUAUCAGGGUCAAUUACAAGUAUUAGUUAUUAUAUUGUUCUCGAAUCAAUAAUGGGUUAAAUAAUUUUAUUUUGUUGAAGGACAGUGUUUUAUUAUUUUAGUAGUGAUAUGUUUUCGUAUUUUGGGGUAGCUAGUUAUCUAAUUAAAUUAUAAUUAGUAGGGGUCUUGGAUUGGUAUAGUAGAAGAGUUAAUUUUUUUAUUAUUUUAGGUUUAGAGGAAAUAUAUUGUUAAUUAGGCUUAACAUUUGCUAUAUUUAUAUAUUGUUGUAAAUAAUCUUUACGUUGUUUUAUUUCUAAGCUAUAUUUUUUAGGUUGGUAAAGUAGACUGGGUAUUUUAUUUAAUAAUGAUUGAAUUAGUAUUAAAGUUAUAUUAAAGUAUUUAACUUGGGGUUUGUAUGAUAGUUUAACAAAAACAUUUCUUUUAGCGUUGUUAAUAGUAAGGCCUGCCCAGUGAUUUUAAACGGCUGCGGUAUUUUAACUGUACUAAGGUAGCAUAAUAAUUUGUUUUUUAAUUGAAAACUGGAAUGAACGGUUUUACAUAUGAUUUGUUUAAUUUUUUAGUUUUAGUAAUUUUUAUUUUGAAUAAAAAUAUUUGAAUGUGAUAAAGGGACGAUAAGACCCUAAAAGCUUUUUUAGGUUGUAAUUUAUUUAUUUUUAUUUUUUAUUCUAAGUUUAGUUGGGGUAACGUAAAUAUAUGUUUUAUUUGUUAACUAUACGUUAAUAUACGGGUUAUAGGUCUUUUACGUAAAGAAAGUCAGGAUUAGUUACUUUAGGGAUAACAGCGUGAUAAUUUUAGAGAGGCCUUAUUGAUAGAGUUGAUUACGACCUCGAUGUUGAAUUAAAAGGUCUAUUUGUUGUAGCAGGCAAGUAAGAGGGUU